GGGGGCGUGGCGAAAUUGGUAACCGCGCAUCACUUGGAAUGAUGUGAGCCAUACAGCGUUCAACUUGACUGGCUCUGCGGGUUCGACUCCCGCCGUCCCCA
Molecule: transfer RNA, 101 nt
Filed under: Acidobacteriota bacterium
Lineage: Bacteria; Pseudomonadati; Acidobacteriota
Description: tRNA-Pro
Rfam family: tRNA
About the family: Transfer RNA (tRNA) molecules are approximately 80 nucleotides in length.
Source: RNAcentral